UUAAGUAGAAAAGAGCGCACGGAGGAUGCCUUGGCACUAGGAGCCGAAGAAGGACGUGACAAACGACGAAACGCUACGGGGAGCUGUAAGUAAGCAAAGAUCCGUAGAUAUCCGAAUGGGGGAACCCACCGCUUUUAAAAGGGCGGUACGCGAAAGCGAGGUAACGCAGGGAACUGAAACAUCUAAGUACCUGUAGGAAGAGAAAGAAAAAUCGAUUUCCUAAGUAGCGGCGAGCGAAAGGGAAAGAGCCCAAACCAAUAUGCUUGCAUAUUGGGGUUGUAGGACUCUCAGAAAAGCGUAUGACAAAGUAUAGUAGAACGAGCUGGAAAGUUAGACCGUAGAAGGUAAAAGUCCUGUAUACGAAAUGCUGAGUUGGCGUGAGAGAGCACCUGAGUACGGCGGAACACGAGGAAUUCCGUCGGAAUCUACCAGGACCAUCUGGUAAGGCUAAAUACUACCUAGUGACCGAUAGUGAACCAGUACCGUGAGGGAAAGGUGAAAAGAACCCCGGGAGGGGAGUGAAAGAGAACCUGAAACCGUGUGCUUACAAGUAGUCAGAGCCCUUUAGGGGGUGAUGGCGUGCCUUUUGUAGAAUGAACCGGCGAGUUACUUUAUCAUGCGAGGUUAAGUGGAAGACAUGGAGCCGAAGCGAAAGCGAGUCUUAAUAGGGCGAAAUAGUAUGAUGGAGUAGACCCGAAACCAAGUGAUCUACCCAUGGCCAGGUUGAAGUUUAGGUAACACUGAAUGGAGGACCGAACCAGGACACGUUGAAAAGUGUUUGGAUGAGCUGUGGGUAGCGGAGAAAUUCCAAUCGAACUUGGAAAUAGCUGGUUCUCUCCGAAAUAGCUUUAGGGCUAGCCUCGUUGUGAGUUUACUGGAGGUAGAGCACUGUUUGGACUAGGGGCCCAUCCCGGGUUACCGAAUUCAGACAAACUCCGAAUGCCAGAUAAAUAUCAACGGGAGUCAGACUGCGGGUGAUAAGGUUCGUAGUCGAAAGGGAAACAGCCCAGACCGCCAGCUAAGGUCCCAAAUUGUAUGUUAAGUGGAAAAGGAUGUGAUGAUGCACAGACAACCAGGAUGUUGGCUUAGAAGCAGCCACCAUUUAAAGAGUGCGUAAUAGCUCACUGGUCGAGUGACAUCGCGCCGAAAAUGUACCGGGGCUAAACAUACAACCGAAGCUGCGGAUAUAACUAAUGUUAUAUGGUAGGAGAGCGUUCUAACAUCAUAGAAGCCGAACUGGAAGGUGAGGUGGAGAGGUUAGAAGUGAGAAUGCCGGUGUGAGUAGCGAAAGAUAGGUGAGAAUCCUAUCCACCGAAAGACUAAGGUUUCCAGAGGAAGGCUCGUCCGCUCUGGGUAAGUCGGGACCUAAGGUGAAGCCGAUAGGUGAAGCCGAUGGACAACAGGUAGAAAUUCCUGUACCACCGAAUAUCGAUUGAGAGAAGUGGGGACAGAGGAGGCUAAUUGAUCGCCCUGAUGGAAUAGGGCGUCUAAGCACAAAGACUGACAAGUAGGCAAAUCCGCUUGUUUAAAGGUUGAAGUGUGAUGGGGAGCGAAAUAUAGUAGCGAAGUCAAUGAAGCCAAACUCUCAAGAAAAGCCGCUAUCGAGAUAAGAGGUGCCCGUACCGCAAACCGACACAGGUAGUUGGGAAGAGAAUUCUAAGGUGAGCGAGAGAACCAUCGUUAAGGAACUCGGCAAAAUGACCCCGUAACUUCGGGAGAAGGGGUGCCUACGAGAGUAGGCCGCAGUGAAUAGGCCCAAGCGACUGUUUAUCAAAAACACAGGUCUCUGCAAAACCGAAAGGUGAAGUAUAGGGGCUGACGCCUGCCCGGUGCUGGAAGGUUAAGAGGAGUGCUUAGCGCAAGCGAAGGUAUGAAUUGAAGCCCCAGUAAACGGCGGCCGUAACUAUAACGGUCCUAAGGUAGCGAAAUUCCUUGUCGGGUAAGUUCCGACCCGCACGAAAGGCGUAACGAUUUGGGCACUGUCUCAACGAUGGACUCGGUGAAAUCAUAGUACCUGUGAAGAUGCAGGUUACCCGCGACAGGACGGAAAGACCCCAUGGAGC
RNAcentral lists this ribosomal RNA (2063 nucleotides) under human metagenome. Its description in RNAcentral is "bacterial LSU rRNA". It matches the Rfam family "Bacterial large subunit ribosomal RNA", at positions 1 to 2099 of the family's 2925-position model. The record is from RNAcentral.